RNAcentral lists this ribosomal RNA (1559 nucleotides) under metagenome. RNAcentral's name for it is "bacterial SSU rRNA". It matches the Rfam family "Eukaryotic small subunit ribosomal RNA", at positions 3 to 1403 of the family's 1831-position model. The record is from RNAcentral.
CCUGGUUGAUCCUGCCAGUACCAUAUGCUUGUCUAAAGGAUUAAGCCAUGCACGUGUAAGUAUAAGUGACUUUAUAUAGCGAAACUGCGGAUGGCUCAUUAUAACAGUUAUAGUUUCCUUGACGGUUUGAUUUUUGAUUCGCUGCCCUUGGGCAGGGGAUGGGAAAUUGGCGGAUAAUCGUGGGAAGUCUAGGAAUAAUACGUGACUAGAAAUCAAUGGGGGCCUUGGUUCCGAUUGAAGGGUUUGAUCAGAAUAUGCAAUUUUGUGUAUUUGGGAAAAAGAUCAAAAGUACUGGAUCGCAUAGAUUCCGGGGUUUACUCCGGAGGCGACAGAUCAUACAAGUUUCUGCCCUAUCAGCUUGAUGGUACGGUAUUGGCGUACGAUGGCGGUGACGGGUGACGGAGAAUCAGGGUUCGAUUCCGGAGAGGGGGCCUGAGAGAUGGCCACCACUUCUAAGGGAGGCAGCAGGCGCGAAAAUUACCCAAUCUCAACGCGAGGAGGUAGCGACAAUAAAUAACAAUGCGGGUCUCCUAGUGAGUCCGCAAUUGGAAUGAGAGCGGUUCAAACUCCCCAUCGAGAAGCAACUGGAGGGCAAGUCUGGUGCCAGCAGCCGCGGUAAUUCCAGCUCCAGUAGUGUAUUAUAAUGUUGUUGCAGUUAAAAAGCUCGUAGUCGGAAUGAAAGUUGCUAUUUUGAUUUCCAUUGUGGCAUAGUCUAUAGCAAUAUAGGGAUUCGCAAGGAUUUAAAAGUGCGAUGAUGAAAUCAGUUAUAUAGAUAGCAACAGUUGAUUAUCCAUAUGGUAAAGUUGUAUCAUUGAUUUGAUACGACCGCAAGAGGGGGCGCGUAGGGUUACGCGCGCCUGUACGAUAUGGAAGGUCACCUUGAGUAAAGUAGAGCGUUCAAAGCAGGUUUUUUUAGAACCAUUGUAUAAUUCAGCAUGGGAUGACGUAAUAUGUUUAUUGGCCCUGGCGCGCGAGCGCGGGAGCGAAUAAAAAUGAUUGAUAGGGAUGACUGGGGACAUUCGUAUUGAGAGGCUAGAGGUGAAAUUCAGUGAUUCUUUCAAGACGAACAUAAGCGAAAGCAUCUGUCAAGGGCGUUUUCGUUGAUCAAGAACGAAAGUUGGGGGAGCGAAGGUGAUUAGAUACCACCGUAGUCCCAACCGUAACGAUGCCGACCAGCGAUUGGUAGGAGUUUACAUUCAGGUUAUUUAUAAUCUGUAUAACUAUAUGACCUUCAUCAGCAGCUUGUGAGAAAUCAAAAGUGUUUGGGUUCUGGGGGGAGUAUGGUCGCAAGACUGGAACUUAAAGGAAUUGACGGAAGGGCACCACCAGGCGUGGAGCUUGCGGCUCAAUUUGACCCAACGCGGGGAAACUUACCAGGUUCGGAUGGAAGAAGGAUUGACAGGCUGAGAGACCUUUCUUGAUUUUUCAGGUGGUGGUGCAUGGCCGUUUUUAGUUGGUGGAUUGAUUUGUCAGGUUAAUUCCGAUAACGAACGAGAUCUUUAUAUUUUAGUUUUUUUCGCUAUGCUAGCGCGCGGACUUGUUCUGGGCGUUUUGAUAUA